AAGUCGUAACAAGGUCUCCGUUGGUGAACCAGCGGAGGGAUCAUUACAGGGUCUAACGACUACCCAAACCAACCGUGAAAACAUCUUCAAACUUGCUGCGGCGGGUCGCUCGCUGGGGGAGCCUUGGCCGUCUCGGUGGCCUGCCGGAGCAAACAAACACAAACUACGCUUGCAGUACCUCUCUGAGAACUUUCUAUAUGAAAAAUCACAACUCAUAACAAUGGAUCUCUUGGCUCUG
This 238-nucleotide unclassified non-coding RNA is filed under the name air metagenome. RNAcentral describes it as "partial contains small subunit ribosomal RNA, internal transcribed spacer 1, and 5.8S ribosomal RNA". The stretch from base 1 to 46 matches the Rfam family "Eukaryotic small subunit ribosomal RNA", at positions 1786 to 1831 of the family's 1831-position model. The record is from RNAcentral.